GAGAGGGGUAGAGAAAGACAGGGUGAAUAGGUAGAGGGAGGUAGAGAAAGACAGGGUGAAUAGGUAGAGAAAGACAGGGCGAAUAGGUAGAGAAAGACCGGGUGAAUUAGGUAGACAGAGGUAGAGAAAGACAGGGUGAAUAGGUAGAGAGAGGUAGAGAAAGACCGGGUGAAUUAGGUAGAGAGAGGUAGAGAAAGACAGGGCGAAUAGGUAGAGGUAGAGAAAGACAGGGUGAAUUGGUAAAGAAAGACUGGGUGAAUAGGUAGAGAAAGACAGGGUGAAUAGGUAGAGAGAGGUAGAGAAAGACAGGG
Molecule: long non-coding RNA, 311 nt
Organism: Oncorhynchus tshawytscha (Chinook salmon)
Lineage: Eukaryota; Metazoa; Chordata; Actinopteri; Salmoniformes; Salmonidae
Exons: 3
Source: RefSeq, a predicted model, not a curated record